This is a non-coding RNA of Cooperia oncophora, 74 nucleotides long. Lineage: Eukaryota; Metazoa; Nematoda; Chromadorea; Rhabditida; Trichostrongylidae. The record is from the annotation of a GenBank genome assembly.
UGGCAUCAGUCGGGAUUCGAACUCGUGACCUCACGUUUGGGAGCCAAUGUGCUUAACCACUACACCACCGCACC